AACGAACGCUGGCGGCAGGCUUAACACAUGCAAGUCGAACGCACUCUUCGGAGUGAGUGGCAGACGGGUGAGUAACGCGUGGGAAUCUACCCAGCCCUUCGGAAUAGCUCCGGGAAACUGGAAUUAAUACCGAGUACGCCUACGGGGAAAGAUUUAUCGGGUUGGAUGAGCCCGCGUUGGAUUAGCUAGUUGGUGGGGUAAGUGGCCUACCAAGGCGACGAUCCAUAGCUGGUCUGAGAGGAUGAUCAGCCACACUGGGACUGAGACACGGCCCA
This 275-nucleotide ribosomal RNA is filed under the name uncultured bacterium. Its description in RNAcentral is "partial 16S ribosomal RNA". It matches the Rfam family "Bacterial small subunit ribosomal RNA", at positions 29 to 333 of the family's 1533-position model. The record is from RNAcentral.